GAAAGAGGACAGCAAACGGCGCUGCUCCGAGCGCCGCUCCGAGCCAGCUCUGGUAGAGGCGUGGACCUGUGCAGGAAUACUCAUACCCUGCGCGGAGAAGAUGGGAGUUAGAUCACAUGGUAUGCCUCUGAUUUAUGUGCACAUUUUCACGUUAACACCAAAGGGUAACUCAAACAUCACAAUCUGACAUCUCCUGCCCACCUGUGUGUCGACUGGCGGCUCCUCCGACUGCAGCCGUGUGCUCUGAAGGUAUGUUGGUAGGUGCAGGGAGGUCAAGGAAAAAAAACAAAACUGAAAAGGCCUUGGACCACAGCUGGAUGCCACAACACUCCUAAAGCUCAGCAGAUACUGGGCUACUUAAUUCCAGCCAAAAAGUUCCUCAGUUUCACCACCAGAGGGGGCUGCUAUUUGAUACAAAGGAUGUCGUACAGGAUGGUCAUCUCCUCAAACUCGGAGCGUGGGUUGAAGUAUGGCCGGGAAGGUGUGGUGACAGGAGACAGGCU
Molecule: long non-coding RNA, 503 nt
Organism: Xiphias gladius (swordfish)
Lineage: Eukaryota; Metazoa; Chordata; Actinopteri; Istiophoriformes; Xiphiidae
Exons: 3
Source: RefSeq, a predicted model, not a curated record